Molecule: ribosomal RNA, 466 nt
Filed under: uncultured bacterium
Lineage: Bacteria
Description: bacterial SSU rRNA
Rfam family: Bacterial small subunit ribosomal RNA
Source: RNAcentral
CCUACGGGUCGCACCAGUGGGGAAUAUUGGACAAUGGGGGGAACCCUGAUCCAGCCAUGCCGCGUGUGUGAAGAAGGCCUUUUGGUUGUAAAGCACUUUAAGCGAGGAGGAGGCUUACCUGGUUAAUACCUGGGAUAAGUGGACGUUACUCGCAGAAUAAGCACCGGCUAACUCUGUGCCAGCAGCCGCGGUAAUACAGAGGGUGCAAGCGUUAAUCGGAUUUACUGGGCGUAAAGCGCGCGUAGGUGGCUAACUAAGUCAAAUGUGAAAUCCCCGAGCUUAACUUGGGAAUUGCAUUCGAUACUGGUUAGCUAGAGUAUGGGAGAGGAUGGUAGAAUUCCAGGUGUAGCGGUGAAAUGCGUAGAGAUCUGGAGGAAUACCGAUGGCGAAGGCAGCCAUCUGGCCUAAUACUGACACUGAGGUGCGAAAGCAUGGGGAGCAAACAGGAUUAGAUACCCCAGUAGUC